Molecule: transfer RNA, 76 nt
Filed under: Deltaproteobacteria bacterium
Lineage: Bacteria; Pseudomonadati; Myxococcota; Myxococcia
Also listed under: 2 other names
Description: tRNA-Ala
Rfam family: tRNA
About the family: Transfer RNA (tRNA) molecules are approximately 80 nucleotides in length. Their secondary structure includes four short double-helical elements and three loops (D, anti-codon, and T loops). Further hydrogen bonds mediate the characteristic L-shaped molecular structure. tRNAs have two regions of fundamental functional importance: the anti-codon, which is responsible for specific mRNA codon recognition, and the 3' end, to which the tRNAs corresponding amino acid is attached (by aminoacyl-tRNA synthetases). tRNAs cope with the degeneracy of the genetic code in two manners: having more than one tRNA (with a specific anti-codon) for a particular amino acid; and 'wobble' base-pairing, i.e. permitting non-standard base-pairing at the 3rd anti-codon position.
Source: RNAcentral
GGGCCUGUAGCUCAGCUGGGAGAGCGCUGCGUUCGCAAUGCAGAGGUCAGGGGUUCGAUCCCCCUCAGGUCCACCA